UCCGGUUUUCACGACCAAGUCACGGUCAGACUGCUUUUGCUUUUAAAGGCAUUCUUUUCACCACAUGGGCAAUACCCAUGAAUAUAACUUGUUUUCUUUUUGCUUCGUGUCAUUUGUAUACCUAUGAGAACAAGCAACAUGCUUUGUAGCGUUUUGUUAAAAACGGCUUUUCUUUGCUUCCGUAAUGGCGGCUAAAUUUAACAUGGUCAAAGUUACUGUCGAGCAUGUGUGUGAGCUUCAUAUUCUGUAAGAAUGUGCGCUUCAUUGACACAUAUAUGAGCCGAAAAGCAUCUGUUUGUAUUUUGCAGUUUUACAAUAAAGGAAUAAGACAAAGGGACCUGAACAUCAGCUCUGCAUCAUUAUUCUUGGUCCAUCGUAUACCGUUGUGUAGAGCUUGCUGGAUAACGAAAUAGCAAAAGUAGACGAGGCUGAAGCUAGUUACUUAUUUGCAGCUCCCGAUUCGUUUGGCUCCUUAUUCGCGGUUUCUCUUUUAGUGAAUGACGGCAGAAUGAAGGGACAACACAAACGCCAUAUGCUGCGCAGUUUCCCAUUUUAACUGACUCGGAGAGACUAAUGAAGGAGACAUUCUAAUGAAGGAAUUAGGAAUGUGUGCUGUGUUUAUCUUACCAGUGUUCGUUUUUUUUCUCCUUUGCGUUACUACACGUCGCCCCCGCCCCCGCCAAAACGUUGAUUUGAGAAUAUCUGACGGCCGAUUGUUUUCGUCAUUGCUAACAGUUUGUUACAUUAGAAUCGCAUUAAUAUCAUAGCAAAGACCACAAAUGGAGUACAGAGUGGGCACAGAGUUCGAUGAUGGUGCCUUGGCUAUCAAGUACAGUUUAUAUUUCUCUUCAGCAUGGCGUGGAAAUUUUUCAGAAAUUAAAAUGAAAGAUGUGUAUCUGCUGGGAUAGGCUCCAGCACCCCCGCGACCCUGAAGGGAAGUAAACAACACAAGCACAUGGACAAAAAUGGAAGGGGCCAAUCGUGACACUAAUAUGUAAUAGAAUUAAUCAACUAUAAUGAACUAAUUAAAAUACAAAACAGGCUGAUAUGGAGAAUCUACAGACAACUGACACAGACGAGCCAUAAGGCCCACAUUUGAAGCAUAACAUAUGCCAACAGAUUUUGAAAGCAAACAAGUGGUGCAUUGAAAACAAAGCCAAUUUCAAGGGAGAGGUUGCACCACCACCACUGCUGUAUAUGACAAGCGAUGAGGCAAAUGAGGCCCUGCGCAAAUUUGACUUACUGCCUGAGAUUCUCAGUGAAGAUGAAAAAGCUAAAAUCCUUGUAAAUUUUUCAUUUUUCUUCACAGAAAUUAAAGAUACACAUUUCUUUCUAGAAAACAUAAGAGACAAAAUGAAGCUUAGAGUUUGUUGCCAAAAAAUUUAGAUUCAUGCACCCAUAUUAGGCCAUUGAUCCUCAUUAAGCCAAGACUCUAAACUGUAAAGCCAAGACUCUAAACUCUUACAAGGGUAAACUCUUAUUGAUUAGUUAUACUUGUAACUGAUUGUUAACCUUAUUCAUUUGCAUGUUUGCUUAUGUGUGUUUGUUUCUGUGUUUGAAACUGUUUUUGGAGAAAAGACAUUUUAUUUUUAUCCUUUAAAGGAUAAACUUAAAAAUAAUUAUACUUUUACAGUUAUUUGUUUUUGCUGAAGUUAAUAUUGGUUUAGGCUCCUGAAAGGGUCACCUCAAAUGCUUAAUUUAUUUUUAUUGCUGUAACUGAUUGUUUUAUCAGUUAUGCCAUUACUGUUUAUUGAUUGAACAACAUUUUUACUUUAUAUUUACUUCAAUAACUUUUGUUGUUGUUUAUUGGUUGUUGUUCACUGGAAUAUUUAUUUAUUUAUUGUUAGUUUUUGAUUGAUAGAGUGAUUGUUCCAUGUGUGUAGCACCUUUUUCUAGAAAAGUAGACAAAAUUGUUCAUGUUUUGGUGAGAUCAGUGUUUGAUAAAUAUUUCUUUAUAUGA
Long non-coding RNA from Pygocentrus nattereri (red-bellied piranha), 1960 nucleotides. RefSeq lists it as uncharacterized. NCBI's taxonomy places the organism in Eukaryota, Metazoa, Chordata, Actinopteri, Characiformes, Serrasalmidae. The record is from RefSeq and is a predicted model, not a curated record. The transcript is spliced from 3 exons.